Myotis davidii is the source of this 74-nucleotide non-coding RNA. The record is from Rfam. NCBI's taxonomy places the organism in Eukaryota, Metazoa, Chordata, Mammalia, Chiroptera, Vespertilionidae.
GGUGUUUCUCAGGUGAUGCACCCUGGAAUCGGGCUCCUUCUCUCUGAUUCCGGGUGCGUCACCCAAGAACCGCA